UAUGGAUGUGGCUCAGUGGUAGACUGCUUGCCUAGUAUGUGCAAGGCCCUGGGUUCAAUCCCCAGUACCACAA
Molecule: transfer RNA, 73 nt
Filed under: Marmota monax (woodchuck)
Lineage: Eukaryota; Metazoa; Chordata; Mammalia; Rodentia; Sciuridae
Description: tRNA.Thr
Source: RNAcentral